This 3903-nucleotide ribosomal RNA is filed under the name Triticum aestivum (bread wheat). Its description in RNAcentral is "partial small subunit ribosomal RNA". The record is from RNAcentral. Lineage: Eukaryota; Viridiplantae; Streptophyta; Magnoliopsida; Poales; Poaceae.
GUCCAGGUCAAUGCGGCAGGGCUCGACGUAGAGGGCGCGACGGCUCCAGGGCGAUGCAGGGAAACAGCGGAUCUGGUGCAGCGGUCCGAGGUGGACUGGAUCGGGGGCGAGAGGCAGGUUCUAGCGAAGGAGGGAUGGAUUCGGCCGAUGCGGCGACCUGCCGGAGAGCGGCAGCGGCGGGUCUGGAUCCGGUCGAUGGGCAACCACCGGAUCAGUUUGGGAGCCCAGCAGCAGCGCUCCGUCCACACCCUGCGCUGGACCGGCAGUAGCACUGCUCCCUCCCUCCUAGCCCCGCGCUAGAUUGGCAGUAGCAGCGCAGAUGGAUUCAACCGCCAGCUCGGGCCACGAAGGGCUUGACCCCAGCCACAAAUUGCCCCCAUAGAGUAUGUUGACUAUGUUCUAAUAUGUAUGCUCAAGUUUGUCUUCUUGUCUCAAAAAAAAGUUUGUCUUCUUGAUUUUUCUGGCUGCGGGGCAUGGGAGCCAUGGAUCGAUCCCACGUACACAGGUACUACAUUAUUUUUUCGUAUGCUUCUUCUAGAUUUCGUUUUGAGCCGAUAAGUGCGAGAUGUGGCAUCACUUCUCGGCUCUACAAAAUCCAUUGCUGAAGUGCGUGUCCUGGGGUCCCAGCCUCCAUCACUUCAGUUCCCGCUAGGUUCAAGAACAAAAAAAAUCAGUGUGGAAGACCACUAGCAGAAUUGGAUGUUGUAUGCACCUUCAUCUUGCAGUCCAAUUACUUGGAUUAUUUGGGACAAAAUCGUUUGCUUUUAACCGUACGACAGUUAUAUAGCAGGCUAAGGAUACAUGCUUGUAAUGCCUCUAUCACAAAUUGCACAUGAACUAACUAGAAAGCUAGCAAUCAAUCGCCCUGAAGGUAUUGCUCUUUUAUUUUAUUUCAGAUCGUGAGGAAAGGGGUUCAGAUAAGUGACUACUCUAUGCUGUACUAACUACUUUAUGUUGUACUGACUAAUCUUAGAAAUAUAUUUGGUCCAGGAGUAGUACAUAGAGCAUUUCUGGAUCAGAUAUACACACGCUAUUCACCUUCAUAACCCGAUUUUUUUUGCUUAUGAUGAUGUUUAUUAUCGGAAAGCUCUUGACAAAAGCAUCAAGUAAUGGGCCAAUACUCAAAUAACUGACUCACCUACAAUCUUUUUUUCUAACGGCAGUAUUAUAUACACAAUAAUAAUUUUUUACAUUUUUCUUAUUGUUGCAAAUAUAUAUCUUGGUAGUUAUAAAUGAUACAUCUAUUUGAUCAUCAGAUGCUUAUCUGUAGUGUUUAGGAGAGCUUUUUUGAUUGGAAAUGACUUUUGAUUCUUGGUUCUUGAGGUGGUAUAUUACUCUGAAGCACUUCAAUUCUUGGCUCUGGCUAAGCAUAAUAUAUUACUUUAUUACUGAGAUUUGGCUACUAAUGAUAUAUGUUACCAUUGUUUUUGUUGUCUUUGAUAGUAUAAAAGAUCGGAAGUGCAUCAGCUAUCACUGCUCCUGUUUGUUGGUAGAUUUGGCAAACCCUCUAAAUUCAUUUUCCACGAAAAUAUAGUUUGUAACACUGGUUCGAAUUAAUAUAUUGAUAUAAGUAGGGCAAUAUCCAAGUUUCUUUAUACUGAUAUAAGUUCAGAAUUUGCAACACCAUUCUACUACUUACACAAGAGCCUUGUGGCUAAUCAUACUUGAUCCUGUGUGCUCUCAUCUGUAGGUAUGGGUUUCACAUCGUUGUCAAUUUUGAUGUGUUUCACGGGAUGAAUGAUGCGUCAGAUUCUUCUAAAACUGCCACUAUUCAGUAUGUAUCCGUCGCAACCCUAAGUUAUGUCUGUCAUGCAUUCAUUAUCUUUAUUUUUUGAGGCUCAAUCCACUUUUAGCUUUUGUCCUCUUGGAGACGUCCUCCUUGAACAGCUUGGAUUCAGUCAUCAAGUCCAUCAUAGGUUUCUGCUGGAUGCCCAGCAUCCGCUUGCACUUAGACAGGGAGGGAGGGAAGGAGCUGCCAUAUUGAAGCAUCCCAUAUUUAUGCUUACCCCGAUCUCUAGAGUCAAGGAUCCUUCACUGAUUGAAAGAUGCAAAUACUGAGCUAUGCUAACUAGAGUAAUGCUAUCUACUUUAUAUCAGCGCAUUUUAUUUGAUUCUUGCGGUAUCUAGACAAUAUUGCACGACCAAAUCAUAACAGACCGGGUGAUUGACGUUCACCUACCUGUAAGGAUUCUCCCAGGUUGUAUCUAUCGAGGAGUGAGCGGAGGAGCAGGAUUAGGAGAUGCCCAUUGUGGCCUAGCAGCUGAUGUCUCCCCGGUGGCUUCAUAAUAUGCCAGACUGCUUCUUGUGUGUUUGCAGCUUGCUAAACAUUCAUCAAAAUUAUGGUUCGCUUGCACCUUGUACAAGUAUGAAUUUUUGCCAUAUCCCACUUCAGGGCAUAAUUUUUUUUUGAAACGGCAACGCACAAAUUAAGUUUUUUUUAUAUUGGAUCGAUAUUUGUAUGGUUGACUUCGACAGAACCUUUUACAACCAGCUACAUAGUAUGGUAAAUCACUAAACUGUAAUGCUUCAGUCUCCCUGUGUUCUAAAAAUAAAAUGCUUGGAACUUUUAACUUAUCAAGCAAUGACUUUAUUUACUCAUAUGUGUAUUGUUUGAUUCGGAGGCUAACAAUAACUUUUGACCAACUAUUGGGAGACCACUAUCUUAUCUUAGAAACAGAAGUAUUAUUAACUUUUGACAAACUAUUGUUAAGUACACUAUUGGGAGUCUUGAGCCAUGUUUGUGUUGUUAGGAGCAUGAAUUUUUUUUCUCCCGUUGCAACGCAUGGGCAUAUAUUAGGUGGCAUCGCUGGUCCGUGUAAAACGGGUUUAAACUUGGCGAAGCUAUUGAACAACACUCUUGCUUUCUUCUGUUAGGACCCUUUAUCAAUCAUUGAGCCACGCCAAGUUUUUGAGAUGGUAAUGAAGCCUGCCACAUUAAAUUUGUCCCUCCCCUUGGUUCUUUGUUAUUUAUUCUUUUGAAUUCCUGAAUUUUCUCUGCAAAAUAAGUCUUGCUUUGCCAGAAGAUUGAACUGUUUCUUUUCAGCUACGAUCAUCUAAUCUCAUAUAUGUGUUCAUUUGAACUUAUUUACUCUUUUGACUGUUGAUUUGGUUUGCUUUGCCUGAAGAUUGAACUGUUUCUUUUUACUGUUGAUUUAUGAACUCCAAGUACUGAUGUGCAUAAUUAAGCAUCUGUUCAUCAGGUGUCAUUGUAUAUGGACAAGUCUGCAGGGGUUUGCCAGUCGGACUUCCAUGAUUGCAAAUUGUCGUUCCUGCAAAUUAUAUGUGAUCAUGAUCUUUUUGUUGAGAUGACUGAGACUUUGGUCGUCCUCCACAGCGGGAUGCGACCUCCCUGGAGCAGCGGGUCAGGCGCAUCAUCGGAGGGGGAGAAGAUCUUGUUAUCUACAACAACGUUGAGUGAACCACCGUCGAACUGAAGCGCGCCUUCUAUAGCUGCGACCCUGUGUUGGCCCUGCCCGCGUACGUCUGCUAAGACCGGAAACAGAGCAGAAAAGGAGUUCAAAUGACCUCUCUCUGUUUUUCCUCCCUCUAGGAGGGCGUUGCCGGAGCAGUUAAGCCAUGCGGAGGUUUGAAAAUGGCACAGGAGGCGGCCUAAGGGUGGCACGGCGUACAAUCCCUCUACUGUCAUUUUAUAUCUCUGAAUUUUUUUUGCUGCAUGCGCAGGUGUUUCAGGCAGAAACAGUAAUAGCAUCGACUAGGAGGAGCAAGACAAGAAGCAACGACAACUACCAUUGCUGGCUAAGCUACCUACUACGAUGCCCGCCUCUCUUUGCAAUGGCCAAAGCACACAACAAUCCACAGUUUGGUGAAUUUUCCCCCCACUUUGGUGACAUGGGACGGGUUGUGGGCAACAGCAUUUUAGAAGAAUCGGUAGUAGAAACGUGA